CAAGUCCCUGUCGGGUAAGAUUUAACCCAUCACCCGUAUCGAGUGUUGCGCCUGUGGCGGAGUUUGUGGAUCGAAAGUACUUUCCCGUAUUUAAUUUUUUUUUCUUAAAAUUAAAUACAGCAAGCGAACAAAACAGGUGAAGCGUACACAGAGAAAUAUAUAGGCCAUAGGGAUUGUCGUGAUCCUGCAGUGCUGUUAUCGCUCCGAGAAUUGUGAAUUCUGAUUGACGAGGUUUGUAACGCCAUCGAAGUCCAUGCAAAGCAAUCGUAAUGGUUAGAUUGUGGCGAGUCAGCGGAGUUAUUAAGUC
Non-coding RNA from Oleispira antarctica, 307 nucleotides. The record is from Rfam. NCBI's taxonomy places the organism in Bacteria, Pseudomonadati, Pseudomonadota, Gammaproteobacteria, Oceanospirillales, Oceanospirillaceae.